RNAcentral lists this ribosomal RNA (468 nucleotides) under uncultured bacterium. RNAcentral describes it as "partial 16S ribosomal RNA". It matches the Rfam family "Bacterial small subunit ribosomal RNA", at positions 28 to 507 of the family's 1533-position model. The record is from RNAcentral.
GACGAACGCUGGCGGCGUGCUUAACACAUGCAAGUCGAACGGAGAGGCCCUGCUUUUGUGGGGUGCUCGAGUGGCGAACGGGUGAGUAACACGUGAGUAACCUGCCCUUGACUUUGGGAUAACUUCAGGAAACUGGGGCUAAUACCGGAUAGGAGCUCCUGCUGCAUGGUGGGGGUUGGAAAGUUUCGGCGGUUGGGGAUGAACUCGCGGCUUAUCAGCUUGUUGGUGGGGUAGUGGCUUACCAAGGCUUUGACGGGUAGCCGGCCUGAGAGGGUGACCGGCCACAUUGGGACUGAGAUACGGCCCAGACUCGUACAGGAGGCAGCAGUGGGGAAUAUUGCACAAUGGGCGGAAGCCUGAUGCAGCAACGCCGCGUGCGGGAUGACGGCCUUCGGGUUGUAAACCGCUUUCGCCUGUGACGAAGCGUGAGUGACGGUAAUGGGUAAAGAAGCACCGGCUAACUACGUG